RNAcentral lists this ribosomal RNA (458 nucleotides) under uncultured bacterium. RNAcentral's name for it is "partial 16S ribosomal RNA". It matches the Rfam family "Bacterial small subunit ribosomal RNA", at positions 338 to 795 of the family's 1533-position model. The record is from RNAcentral.
CCUACGGGAGGCAGCAGUGGGGAAUAUUGCACAAUGGGGGAAACCCUGAUGCAGCGACGCCGCGUGAGUGAAGAAGUAUUUCGGUACGUAAAGCUCUAUCAGCAGGGAAGAAAAACCGGCCUUAGGGCCGCCAGACGGUACCUGACUAAGAAGCCCCUGCUAACUACGUGCCAGCAGCCGCGGUAAUACGGAGGGGGCAAGCGUUAUCCGGAUUUACUGGGUGUAAAGGGAGCGUAGACGGCAGAGCAAGUCUGGAGUGAAAUGCCGGGGCUCAACCCCGGAACUGUUUUGGAAACUGUGCAGCUGGAGUGCAGGAGAGGUAAGCGGAAUUCCUAGUGUAGCGGUGAAAUGCGUAGAUAUUAGGAGGAACACCAGUGGCGAAGGCGGCUUACUGGACUGUAACUGACGUUGAGGCUCGAAAGCGUGGGGAGCAAACAGGAUUAGAUACCCCAGUAGUC